GUGAACGCUGGCGGUAGGCCUAACACAUGCAAGUCGAACGGCAGCACAGUAAGAGCUUGCUCUUACGGGUGGCGAGUGGCGGACGGGUGAGGAAUACAUCGGAAUCUACUUUUUCGUGGGGGAUAACGUAGGGAAACUUACGCUAAUACCGCAUACGACCUACGGGUGAAAGCAGGGGAUCUUCGGACCUUGCGCGAUUGAAUGAGCCGAUGUCGGAUUAGCUAGUUGGCGGGGUAAAGGCCCACCAAGGCGACGAUCCGUAGCUGGUCUGAGAGGAUGAUCAGCCACACUGGAACUGAGACACGGUCCAGACUCCUACGGGAGGCAGCAGUGGGGAAUAUUGGACAAUGGGCGCAAGCCUGAUCCAGCCAUACCGCGUGGGUGAAGAAGGCCUUCGGGUUGUAAAGCCCUUUUGUUGGGAAAGAAAAGCAGCAGGUUAAUACCCCGCUGUUCUGACGGUACCCAAAGAAUAAGCACCGGCUAUCUUCGUG
RNAcentral lists this ribosomal RNA (491 nucleotides) under uncultured bacterium. Its description in RNAcentral is "partial 16S ribosomal RNA". It matches the Rfam family "Bacterial small subunit ribosomal RNA", at positions 29 to 507 of the family's 1533-position model. The record is from RNAcentral.